Non-coding RNA from Heterocephalus glaber (naked mole-rat), 1654 nucleotides. NCBI's taxonomy places the organism in Eukaryota, Metazoa, Chordata, Mammalia, Rodentia, Bathyergidae. The record is from RefSeq and is a predicted model, not a curated record.
AAGCCUGAAACUCUGGACUGCAGGGUGAGAUUAAAGCAACAUCUUCCAGUCCUUACAAAUGAGCCUGCUCAGGUCCAUUGAGAAGAGGGGCUGUGUCUUAGGGGAUGUGCUUAGGUUCAGCUGAUCUACUCUGUGAAUAGCUGUGUUGUAAAAGACCCCAUUUUCUGUGUUGUGGAGAAUUAACAGAUCACAAAGCCAGAGUAUAUUUCCACCCCAUACAUCUCUGAUUUGCAUAUGUGUUUAUGUAAAUUAAAUACAGUAGAAGGUAGCUGGAAAUGUGACAUCCAAGGUCAGGAGAAAGAGUGUAUGUAUCUAACUCUGGGAGAGAGAGAAACCAAUGCUCCUUUCCUGUUUUGGUUCUAUCUGGGCUCCAGCCAACCCAACCGUGCUCAUCCACAGUAAGUGCAGAUCUUCUUCACCUAGGCACUCACAUCCGCACAUCCAUCUCCGGAAAUGCCUCACAGACCACACUCCAGAAACAACGCUUUACCAGCUUCCUCCAGAACUUUGGCAUGGAAGCCAGGAAUCACCUGGUGAAGAGAUCAUCAGCCUUCACACCUUCCAUGUUCUGGCUUGGAGGGAGAUGGAGCCGCUAUUCCAAAAGUGUGGUGCUGGAGUGUAUGAGCAAAAGGAGCAUGCCGUGCUGAGAUAGAGGAUUUCUAUUUGGCUUUGGAAAAGGGCCAUCUACCACUUGCAAAACAUAAGUUUGAAAAUAUGGCCCAGAGAACUAGACCCUGCAAAGGCAUCUCUCAAAAUACAUUAUAUACAGCCGAGCCUUCGGCAAGGGUAUCAGUUUGCCAGAUGACAUACGGAAUAACAUGCACUGGACAUCUUAACAGAGAAAGUUACUGUCUCAGCUCCGAAGCUGCAAGUCUGAAUCUCAGGUGUCAGCAGGAUUGGGUUCUCAGAGCCUCUCCCCUGGGGCUGGAGGUGGUUGUCUGUACCCUAUGUCUUCACAAGGUCUCCCCUCAGUGUGUAUUUGUGUUCAGUUUUCCACUUCUUAGGAGGACACCAGUCAUCUUGGAUUAGAGCCCACCUUAAAGACGUCAUUUUAACUCACAGACCUCUUUAAAAACCUUAUCUCUUUAUGCAGUCGUAUUUUGAGUUACUGAGGAUUAGGACUUCAUAUGAAUUUGAGGGAACACAAUUCACCCUACAAUAAAUAUUGAGCAGUCUCCACCUGGUGCUUAAACCCUCCAGCCACUAUCUACAAAAAAGGAUAUUCUCUGUGACCAGUUAAGAGAAACAUGUCCUACCAGACCAUCAACUAAACCGGAUAGAGAACAAAUAACCCAUUAUAAAAAGGGAAGAACCUAGAUGGGCACGGUGGUGCACGCUUUAAUACUAGCACUUGGGAGUCUGAUGCAGGAGAAAAACUGUGAAUCCGAGGCCAGCUUGGACUACACAAUGAGUUCAAGCCCAGCCCUAACUACAUAAUGAGACCCUGUCUCAAAAAAGAAACACCCCAAAAGAAGGAAAACCCUAAUAAAGGCAAGAGCCUGUAUACAAAGCUAUAUAGACCCCAUGCCAAUGAAAAUGAGGGAGAACCCUAGGCAGUACAAGAUACCUGCACUAUCCCAGUUCUUCUUCAAUGAGUAUAUAUUUCUGUACAUGCCAAAAACUGACAAUAAAAAUAAAUCUUCCUAACAUUGCA